AGGGAUGUGGCUCAGUGGUAGAGUGCUUGGCUGGGAUUCGUGAGGAUCUGGGUUCAAUCCCCAGUACCACAA
This 72-nucleotide transfer RNA is filed under the name Ictidomys tridecemlineatus (thirteen-lined ground squirrel). RNAcentral describes it as "Spermophilus tridecemlineatus (thirteen-lined ground squirrel) tRNA". It matches the Rfam family "tRNA". From Rfam's summary of the family: Transfer RNA (tRNA) molecules are approximately 80 nucleotides in length. Their secondary structure includes four short double-helical elements and three loops (D, anti-codon, and T loops). Lineage: Eukaryota; Metazoa; Chordata; Mammalia; Rodentia; Sciuridae. RNAcentral also lists the same sequence under 1 other name. The record is from Rfam by way of RNAcentral.